RNAcentral lists this transfer RNA (87 nucleotides) under Candidatus Fraserbacteria bacterium RBG_16_55_9. RNAcentral describes it as "tRNA-Leu". It matches the Rfam family "tRNA". From Rfam's summary of the family: Transfer RNA (tRNA) molecules are approximately 80 nucleotides in length. Their secondary structure includes four short double-helical elements and three loops (D, anti-codon, and T loops). Lineage: Bacteria; Candidatus Fraseribacteriota. The record is from RNAcentral.
GCCCGUGUGGUGGAAUUGGCAGACACGACCGAUUUAAGGUCGGUUGACCCUUCAAUGGGCGUACGGGUUCGAAUCCUGUCACGGGCA